Molecule: long non-coding RNA, 484 nt
Organism: Megalobrama amblycephala (Wuchang bream)
Lineage: Eukaryota; Metazoa; Chordata; Actinopteri; Cypriniformes; Xenocyprididae
Exons: 3
Source: RefSeq, a predicted model, not a curated record
UCCCCUUUUUUAAAAUAGCAAAUAGCGUUUUGUUUAUCACAGCUUGGCCAGAGUCGUUGAGCUUGGUAAGUUGAGGGAACCAAUUUCAUUUUCUCAAAUGCAAUUUGUCAUUCAUUGUGCAAUUACAAUUUUCAAACUUUUUGUUGUUACUCAUGAGCUACUUAGAAGAAGAUUGGAGAUCUCCACACAUCUUGGAUCCAUGGACGAAUAACAUUCCCAUCUCAUAUCCCUGGUGAUGACAGCAUUUGUGAUUUCAAAAAUUUGGAAUCUUAGAGAUUUGUGUACUUCAAGUGAUCAGAUUAUCAAUACUGCAUCACUGCAGAAUGCUGUUUUCUGUGAGAACACAGAGGAACGCUCUUCCUGAGGACAAACAGAGACGAGCCAAGAAGACCUUUGAGGAGAUGAUGAACUACCUACCAGAAUCUUGAGAUGACAACACGUGACGUGACGUCGUCGGAACUGUUCACGUCCUUGGACUAUGAAG